AAUAUCAAAGGUGAGCCAGUACAGGAUGGACCCGCGUCUGAUUAGCUAGUUGGUAAGGUAACGGCUUACCAAGGCGACGAUCAGUAGCCGACCUGAGAGGGGGAUCGGCCACAUUGGAACUGAGACACGGUCCAAACUCCUACGGGAGGCAGCAGUGGGGAAUAUUGCACAAUGGGCGAAAGCCUGAUGCAGCAACGCCGCGUGAGUGAUGAAGGCCUUCGGGUCGUAAAACUCUGUCCUCAAGGAAGAUAAUGACGG
RNAcentral lists this ribosomal RNA (258 nucleotides) under Clostridioides difficile. RNAcentral describes it as "partial 16S ribosomal RNA". It matches the Rfam family "Bacterial small subunit ribosomal RNA", at positions 197 to 457 of the family's 1533-position model. The record is from RNAcentral. Lineage: Bacteria; Bacillati; Bacillota; Clostridia; Peptostreptococcales; Peptostreptococcaceae.